This 447-nucleotide ribosomal RNA is filed under the name uncultured bacterium. RNAcentral's name for it is "bacterial SSU rRNA". It matches the Rfam family "Bacterial small subunit ribosomal RNA", at positions 355 to 825 of the family's 1533-position model. The record is from RNAcentral.
UCGGGAAUUUUGGGCAAUGGGGGAAACCCUGACCCAGCAACGCCGCGUGAAGGAUGAAGUAUUUCGGUAUGUAAACUUCGAAAGAAUAGGAAGGAUAAAUGACGGUACUAUUUAUAAGGUCCGGCUAACUACGUGCCAGCAGCCGCGGUAAUACGUAGGGACCAAGCGUUGUUCGGAUUUACUGGGCGUAAAGCGCGCGUAGGUGGUUUGUUAAGUUGGAUGUGAAAUCCCCGGGCUCAACCUGGGAACUGCAUCCAAAACUGGCAAGCUAGAGUAUGGUAGAGGGUGGUGGAAUUUCCUGUGUAGCGGUGAAAUGCGUAGAUAUAGGAAGGAACACCAGUGGCGAAGGCGACCACCUGGACUGAUACUGACACUGAGGUGCGAAAGCGUGGGGAGCAAACAGGAUUAGAUACCCCAGUAGUCCCUGAGCGGGCUGGCAAGGCGCAU